GACGAACGCUGGCGGCGUGCUUAACACAUGCAAGUCGAACGGAAAGACCCUGCUUUUGUGGGGUGCUCGAUUGGCGAACAGGUGAGUAACACGUGAGUAACCUGCACUUGUAUUUGGGAUAACUUCAGGAAACUGGGGCUAAUACCGGAUAGAAGCUCCUGCUGCAUGGUGGGGGUUGGAAAGUUUCGGCGGUUGUGGAUAGACUCGCAGCUUAUCAGCUUGAUGGUCGGGUAGUCGCUUACGAAGUCUUCGAAGGGUAGCCGGCAUUGGAGGUUGACCGGCCACCUGACUCCUACGAUACGGCCCAGUCUCCUACCGUCGGCAGCAGGCGGGAAUAUUGCACAGUGGGCGGAAGUCUGAUACAGAAACGCUGCGUGCGUGAUGACGUCCUUCGGGUUGUGAACCGCUGUCGCCUGUGACGAAGCGGGAGUGACGGUAAUGGGUAAAGAAGCACCGGCUAACUACGUG
Molecule: ribosomal RNA, 468 nt
Filed under: uncultured bacterium
Lineage: Bacteria
Description: partial 16S ribosomal RNA
Rfam family: Bacterial small subunit ribosomal RNA
Source: RNAcentral